RNAcentral lists this ribosomal RNA (697 nucleotides) under uncultured bacterium. RNAcentral describes it as "bacterial SSU rRNA". It matches the Rfam family "Bacterial small subunit ribosomal RNA", at positions 636 to 1333 of the family's 1533-position model. The record is from RNAcentral.
UUAGACUNGAGUGCAGAAGGGGAGAGUGGAAUUCCAUGUGUAGCGGUGAAAUGCGUAGAUAUAUGGAGGNACACCGGUGGCGAAAGCGGCUNUCUGGUCUGUCACUGACGCUGAGGCUCGAAAGCGUGGGUAGCGAACAGGAUUAGAUACCCUGGUAGUCCACGCCGUAAACGCUGAGUGCUAGGUGUUAGGUCCUUUCCGGGACUUAGUGCCGACGCUAACGCAUUAAGCACUCCGCCUGGGGAGUACGACCGCAAGGUUGAAACUCAAAGGAAUUGACGGGGGCCCGCACAAGCGGUGGAGCAUGUGGUUUAAUUCGAAGCAACGCGAAGAACCUUACCAGGUCUUGACAUCCCGAUGCCCGCUCUAGAGAUAGAGUUUUUCUUCGGAACAUCGGAGACAGGUGGUGCAUGGUUGUCGUCAGCUCGUGUCGUGAGAUGUUGGGUUAAGUCCCGCAACGAGCGCAACCCUUAUUGUUAGUUGCCCUCAUUAAGUUGGGCACUCUAGCGAGACUGCCGGUAAUAAACCGGAGGAAGGUGGGGAUGACGUCAAAUCAUCAUGCCCCUUAUGACCUGGGCUACACACGUGCUACAAUGGUUGGUACAACGAGUCGCAAGCCGGUGACGGCAAGCUAAUCUCUGAAAGCCAAUCUCAGUUCGGAUUGUAGGCUGCAACUCGCCUACAUGAAGUCGGAAUC